AGUGAACGCUGGCGGUAGGCCUAACACAUGCAAGUCGAACGGCAGCACAGUAAGAGCUUGCUCUUACGGGUGGCGAGUGGCGGACGGGUGAGGAAUACAUCGGAAUCUACUUUUUCGUGGGGGAUAACGUAGGGAAACUUACGCUAAUACCGCAUACGACCUACGGGUGAAAGCAGGGGAUCUUCGGACCUUGCGCGAUUGAAUGAGCCGAUGUCGGAUUAGCUAGUUGGCGGGGUAAAGGCCCACCAAGGCGACGAUCCGCAGCUGGUCUGAGAGGAUGAUAGCCACACUGGAACUGAGACACGGUCCAGACUCCUACGGGAGGCAGCAGUGGGGAAUAUUGGACAAUGGGCGCAAGCCUGAUCCAGCCAUACCGCGUGGGUGAAGAAGGCCUUCGGGUUGUAAAGCCCUUUUGUUGGGAAAGAAAAGCAGCAGGUUAAUACCCCGCUGUUCUGACGGUACCCAAAGAAUAAGCACCGGCUAACUUUGUG
RNAcentral lists this ribosomal RNA (491 nucleotides) under uncultured bacterium. RNAcentral's name for it is "partial 16S ribosomal RNA". It matches the Rfam family "Bacterial small subunit ribosomal RNA", at positions 29 to 507 of the family's 1533-position model. The record is from RNAcentral.